RNAcentral lists this ribosomal RNA (406 nucleotides) under uncultured bacterium. RNAcentral describes it as "partial 16S ribosomal RNA". It matches the Rfam family "Bacterial small subunit ribosomal RNA", at positions 30 to 526 of the family's 1533-position model. The record is from RNAcentral.
AUUUAACGCUGGCGGCAGGCCUAACACAUGCAAGUCGAACGAGUGGCGGACGGGUGAGUAAUGUCUGGGAAACUGCCCGAUGGAGGGGGAUCACUACUGGAAACGGUAGCUACUACCGCAUACCAUCUGAUGUGCCCAGAUGGGAUUAGCUAGUAGGUGGGGUAACGGCUCACCUAGGCGACGAUCCCUAGCUGGUCUGAGAGGAGGACCAGCCACACUGGAACGGAGACACGGUCCAGAAGCCUGCGGGAGGCAGCAGUGGGGAAUAGUGCACAAUGGGCGGAAGCCUGAUGGAGCCAUGCCGCGUGUCUGAAGAAGGCCUUAGGGUUGUAAAGUACUUUCAGCGAGGAGGCGUUACUCGCAGAAGAAGCAACGGCUAACUCCGUGCCAGCAGCCGCGGUAAUUC